CUUAUGCGUUGUUGGGUAGGGGAGCGUUCUGUAAGCCUGUGAAGGUGUACUGUGAGGUAUGCUGGAGGUAUCAGAAGUGCGAAUGCUGACAUAAGUAACGAUAAAGCGGGUGAAAAGCCCGCUCGCCGGAAGACCAAGGGUUCCUGUCCAACGUUAAUCGGGGCAGGGUGAGUCGACCCCUAAGGCGAGGCCGAAAGGCGUAGUCGAUGGGAAACAGGUUAAUAUUCCUGUACUUGGUGUUACUGCGAAGGGGGGACGGAGAAGGCUAUGUUGGCCGGGCGACGGUUGUCCCGGUUUAAGCGUGUAGGCUGGUUUUCCAGGCAAAUCCGGAAAAUCAAGGCUGAGGCGUGAUGACGAGGCACUACGGUGCUGAAGCAACAAAUGCCCUGCUUCCAGGAAAAGCCUCUAAGCAUCAGGUAACAUCAAAUCGUACCCCAAACCGACACAGGUGGUCAGGUAGAGAAUACCAAGGCGCUUGAGAGAACUCGGGUGAAGGAACUAGGCAAAAUGGUGCCGUAACUUCGGGAGAAGG
RNAcentral lists this ribosomal RNA (532 nucleotides) under Escherichia coli. Its description in RNAcentral is "partial 23S ribosomal RNA". It matches the Rfam family "Bacterial large subunit ribosomal RNA", at positions 1213 to 1746 of the family's 2925-position model. Lineage: Bacteria; Pseudomonadati; Pseudomonadota; Gammaproteobacteria; Enterobacterales; Enterobacteriaceae. The record is from RNAcentral.